CAGUAGCGCGGGAAAACAGAGGAUGCAAGCGUUAUCCGGAAUGAUUGGGCGUAAAGGGUCCUGAGGUGGCCUGUUUAGUCUACUGUGAAAGCUCAGGGCUUAACCCUGACAAUGCGGUGGAAACUGGCAGGCUAGAAUACGGUAGGGGCAAGGGGAAUUCCCAGUGUAGCGGUGAAAUGCAUAGAUAUUGGGAGGAACACCAAAGGCGAAGGCACCUUGCUGGGCCGCUAUUGACACUGACAGACGAAAGCCAGGGGAGUAACCCGGAUUAGAUACCCCCGUAGUCCCUGUCUCUUAUACA
RNAcentral lists this ribosomal RNA (301 nucleotides) under uncultured bacterium. RNAcentral describes it as "partial 16S ribosomal RNA". It matches the Rfam family "Bacterial small subunit ribosomal RNA", at positions 509 to 809 of the family's 1533-position model. The record is from RNAcentral.